UGCUAUAUCUGCCACAAAAACUGGUUGUGGAUGGAGAGAUUCCCCAUAGAUGAGAGGCUCAAGUUGGGGAGGAAAAUAGUUUCUGCAGGUACGGAAUUCGGGAUUGAAUUAGCAGGAUAAUUCCGACUUGAAGUCUCUCAGGAGGUUUUGGUCAAGAUGUCAGCGACGGUUGCAAUCAUGUGAAAAAUUGACUGGGACUGGAGGAGCCAUUUCCAAGGGAUGACAAGUGUUAUCACAAUGGCAAUUAAGCGGAUAAAAUUCCAGUAAAAUGAAACUUAGAAUCAAGUUGUUGUCUACUCAAGAGAAUGCGACAUUUGAGUCAGCUCUUGAAGCAUGCAUAGAAGCUAACCAAGCAGAAAAGAAGGAAGAAAAUUCCAGAGUGUGAACAGCAUGUGCAGAGACC
This is a long non-coding RNA of Nomascus leucogenys (northern white-cheeked gibbon), 403 nucleotides long. RefSeq lists it as uncharacterized. The record is from RefSeq and is a predicted model, not a curated record. NCBI's taxonomy places the organism in Eukaryota, Metazoa, Chordata, Mammalia, Primates, Hylobatidae. The transcript has 3 exons.